UCUUAGCCCUGAUAGAGCGGUUUGUUUGAGCUCUUUUUAGAUUGUUUUUAUAAAAAGAUAUUUUUAUAAAAACAAUCUAGCGAAGCGAAAAAAAGCGAGUAGCGAAAGCAGGAAAUAGC
RNAcentral lists this unclassified non-coding RNA (119 nucleotides) under Polaribacter sp. KT 15. Its description in RNAcentral is "Flavo-1 RNA". The record is from RNAcentral. Lineage: Bacteria; Pseudomonadati; Bacteroidota; Flavobacteriia; Flavobacteriales; Flavobacteriaceae.